CGUCUCAUUGGCUCUGUUCUUACCUCUGAAGCACUCAGCGAGCAGCACACGAGGGGAAAAAUCACAGAGAAUGUCAGGACCUCAAUGCUGCGAGAACCCUCCAACCCUGACCCAACCCGCGGACAAGGCCAUGUCGAGGAGCUGGGUGGAGUCAAGAGCUACGUCUCUGGCUCAUCUGACUCUGAUCUACCCUGUACUUCCUUUUUUAUUGAUCAAGUUUGCAUUAUGGGUUCAUAGUCAGUGCUUCUGGUUCAAUCUGUAACGUGGGUCAGUGAUUUAAGUUGUAUUUUGUCAUAAUCUCUUGGUCAACCUUUAAGUCCCGUUUUUUUAGGUUGUAAUCUGAUGAAACUAUCCGAUUCUUGCUUUGACGCGAGUGGCUAUGUUUACGGAGUAGGCUGUUUCUUGGAAGUUUAUAUUGAGAGUUGUUUCAUGGUGGCAUGUGAUUUAGCAAUUGGAGGUUACUGAAAUAGGAGCAUAAAGAAGGAAAACCUAUUUAUAUGGUUUCAUUUCUACCAUUUCAUCUGUUUUCCUCUUCUCAGAACUAACCAUAAUUUGGGUGGUUAUAUUCAUUGUGCAGGAUGUGAAGCUCCAAGCUUGAGGUAUAGACGAUUCCCAUAUAAUCCUUUCUUGCAACUUGCUUGUUUUUAUUCUUCCCAGACCAUCUCUGUGCGUGUCUCUGUUGGGGGCAGUGGAGGAGGUUCUGCAUGAAUGAGACUUCCCUUCUUGUCUUUCUAUUGUUCAUUUAAUUUUGACUUUUUAUCGCAUUUUCAAUUGCUUCACAGUUCAUUAUGUUAUGACUUUCCUCUAGCUUUAUGCGUUAAAAUUAACAGAAGAUUGCUAAGGUCUACAUAAGGUAAUGAUGUGUUUAUUUCCCCUGAACACUAGAGAAGUCAAAGGAACCACUUCUUUGGCAGCUUAUCCAAUAUUACAGUCAGGUUGUUCGCUUAUGAUGAAAAUCCUCAAGGUCUGUGACUUUGGGUGCUCUUUCGAGAUAGAUCUUGAGAUUCUCUAGAGUACUUUGGAUAGUGGAUAUGAGAGAAGCUGUGGUAUUCAGAAUGUCCAAUUGGGACUGAGAUUCUUCUAUCUCGACUUGAGUGUCUCAAGAGUAAGAGCAUGGGGAUCUCUGCCGAAAAAGCAGGCCCUUGUCAUGCAAUGUGAUAUGUCUUUUCAUUAGUAUUAUUGAACUGUUAUUAAUCAAGGACCUUCCAAUCUUCCAUACUGAUGAAAGCUUACUCUACGUAAUGCUUAAGAAUUCCCAUAUGGUGAUCAAUCUCGUCAAAAUCUUGCUGACUUGGUGGCAGCUGCUGCUGUGGUUGUGCCUGAUUUUUUUGUUGAGGAUCCUUCUGUGCCUGAAAAUGCCAAAAGGCCAUGGAAUAGCUAAGUAUCAUGGAACUGUGGGUUCUCGAUCUUUAAUUCAUAGACAUUUGCUGUUUUUUCCUUAGAAACUGCGCUAGUAUUAUUCAUAAGUUGAUCCAGAAUUGCCUAUCUCGGGAUGCUCACUGUUUUCCCAUUAUUGAUUAGUUGCUUAAGCUACGACUCAUAAUUAUGCAUCCAUUAGUAAUUGUGAUUGCUGAUGCCAAAAGAAUUUUUUUUGCAGGAUAAGUGUUAUGAAGAUGCAAAGCGAAUAGUUGAAGCUGUAAAAGGUAAAGGUGUGUCUGCGAUUAGGGCUGCUGGCUUUGCUCAUGGGAUCUUCAUUUCUUCAGCUAAGGGGUGGUUGAGCUGGCAAAGACAGGGGUCGUCAAAGCUGCUGCGUUACUAGAUCCGAUGUUAGUUUCUGUGGAUGACAUCGAGGGAGUAUGGGCUCCAAAUAGCCAUAUUAUUUUCUGAGAUAGACUGUAUGUCACCACUGGAACUCCUGAAGCAGUUUGAAGAGAUUCUAACUGCCAUAUCUGAGGUUGAUGCGCGAGUAAAGAUAUUUCCAAAAGUUUCCCAUGGGUGGACUGUCAAGUAUGAUGUUGCUGAUGAAGCAGUGGUGAAGUUUGCUGAGGCGAAUUGGGAUAUGCUAGAAUGGUUUGCAAAGUUUAUCAAUUGAGGGUAGUCUCUGGCAUCAGUUGAAAACCUACACUCUGGCAUGUGACAACUUGUUGUGUAAUAAAGUUGACGCUGUUUACUUUCUGCAUUCUGCAAUUGCCAAGAAAAUGGAGAAGGCUAGUGGGGAUUUUGUUCUGUUUCUGCAUUUCAACUUGAGUUCUGCCAUAAAGAUUAGAUGAAGUAGAAUCUCUCCCGAUCAAUG
Long non-coding RNA from Eucalyptus grandis, 2233 nucleotides. RefSeq lists it as uncharacterized. The record is from RefSeq and is a predicted model, not a curated record. Lineage: Eukaryota; Viridiplantae; Streptophyta; Magnoliopsida; Myrtales; Myrtaceae. The transcript is spliced from 4 exons.